This is a long non-coding RNA of Impatiens glandulifera, 412 nucleotides long. RefSeq lists it as uncharacterized. NCBI's taxonomy places the organism in Eukaryota, Viridiplantae, Streptophyta, Magnoliopsida, Ericales, Balsaminaceae. The record is from RefSeq and is a predicted model, not a curated record. The transcript has 3 exons.
CUAGCCAAACCCCGUCGCCUCCCAUCGCCGCCCAUAUCGCCGAUUCUCUAAUACCCCGCCGCCCACAUCCUAGACAAACCCUAAACCUUCUCUAACCCAAUUCUCUAAAACUCGAUUCUUUAAUACCCCGCCACAUCCCCUAACCAAUCCUAACUUUUGUAGAAGAUAACGAAUCUAUUUGAAGACAACGAAUCUAUUCGCUAUUUGUAGAAGACAAAUUCGCCUCCUUCUCCGUGAUCAGCGGAGAAGCUUCUGGAGUAAUAACUGUUUUUAUCUUGAAGUCGAAUAACUAUAAACCACAAAGUGCAUCUCAAAGUCAACGCGCGCGAGCAGACGUCUCAAAGUCAACGUACGAGUUCGACGUGCCGUCUAACAGGCACGUAGUUAGACGUGUAGUCUAACAUCCACGAAG